Prunus persica (peach) is the source of this 70-nucleotide small nucleolar RNA. It matches the Rfam family "Small nucleolar RNA snoR60". Rfam says of the family: snoR60 is a member of the C/D class of snoRNA which contain the C (UGAUGA) and D (CUGA) box motifs. Most of the members of the box C/D family function in directing site-specific 2'-O-methylation of substrate RNAs. The record is from Rfam. Lineage: Eukaryota; Viridiplantae; Streptophyta; Magnoliopsida; Rosales; Rosaceae.
GAGCAUGUGACGAAGUACUCGGAUUCCCCUUCAAGACAUAAUGGGUGAUGUAAGUCGAGUUUCUGAUGCU